Molecule: unclassified non-coding RNA, 387 nt
Filed under: Gynochthodes grayi
Lineage: Eukaryota; Viridiplantae; Streptophyta; Magnoliopsida; Gentianales; Rubiaceae
Description: partial external transcribed spacer
Source: RNAcentral
UUGUAGGAUCUCCCAGGUAGCAUUCUUCACAGACAUCAGGCCGCAAGACGCAUCAUUUCACUGCGGCGCCGAAGGUCGUUUGAACGUGGCUUGUGACGCCAAUUUUGUGGGCAAAAAGGGGUGGGGGACCCCGUGCCCGUAGCGUUUUUUUCAUCCCAGAGAUGGAGCAGGAACCCGAGGGCCGCGACGACGACGACGCGAUGCGUGGACGUCGCGGAACACGGGUCUCGCUUCGGGGUUCGCCCAUAGCCGCGCCGUGUGAACGGGCAGCACUAGGCAAACGUGGGAAGGAUUGGCCAACACAAUUCCGUCUACGUAGGUAUGCAACACAGGAAACCGACGGCCACGGCCAAGGCAACUCGCCCUUGUGCCAACGAUGAAGAGGAA